CAAAAACCAAAAGAGCCGUGCUGCCUAGAAAGAACCAUUGGGGAAGGGAUCA
Molecule: ribosomal RNA, 52 nt
Filed under: Aspergillus terreus
Lineage: Eukaryota; Fungi; Ascomycota; Eurotiomycetes; Eurotiales; Aspergillaceae
Description: partial 18S ribosomal RNA
Source: RNAcentral